This 1083-nucleotide long non-coding RNA is filed under the name Rattus norvegicus (Norway rat). RNAcentral's name for it is "long non-coding RNA NONRATT015437". Lineage: Eukaryota; Metazoa; Chordata; Mammalia; Rodentia; Muridae. The record is from RNAcentral.
GUGUGUGUGUGUGUGUGUGCUGUGAGAUUGGUAAGCAAUACAUUAGUAAACACAUCUUCAUUACUCUUUUCCGAUACUGGACCAAUGAUGUCCUAACUGUACAUUUCCUUCCCCUUAUGAUGACGACGCUCUGACUCAUUUAGGUAGAAACAUUUGACCACCUUUCAUUCCAUUGAUUUUCUUUUUCUCCUUUCUGUGUUAUUCUUAAGGGAAAAGAGAGAGAGAAAGAGAGGGGGAUAGCAUAGAUCCCCUUGAGCAGAGAAAAAGCAAAAUAUUUUAUUAAAGAAAAAAAGAGAAAUUAAGAAAAUAGUUUGGAGUAUUUUCUUACUGUAGAGAAGCAUUGUACAUUACCACGAGACCUGGGUAUAAGAUGCUCACGUGUGGCGCUGGGGAGCGCAUGUCCAAGCCCAUUUGAGUGGUUUCUUUUGUUUCUCAUUGCAGGGAGUGGGUGGGAGGGAGGGAGGACUAAGGGCACUUUCGGGGGUCUCCUUUUAGUCAAAAGCAAGAAAAUGACAAGAAAGAGAUUAAAUUCAAUGUUUUCCUUGAAUAGUGUUAAACACUAAAAUUUUAAAACAAGAAAGAAAAAACUUUGUAAAAUGCAAGAACAGAAGCAAAAGACACUACGCUGUCAUUUUUAUCUUUCUUUUGUUGAAAGAUUAAAAACUGAAAUGUUUUUUAGACAAUCAAAUGUUAGGUAAGUGCAAAAACUUGUUUUUCUUACUGGUGUAGAAAUUAAUGCCUUUUUUAUUUUUCAGUUAUUUUAUAAUAACAAAAUAAAAACAACCCCCAGCUGCCAGGUGGGUUUUGGUGUUCGAAAUGCGGGGCAAAGCACUACAUCACUGCAAAUAGAUACAGAGUUAGUCUGCAUGUCUGUAGGCUGUGUGAUUGCGGAAAAUAUAAAUGCUGCUAAUAUAUUUCCUUUUUACAGAAAAGCAUAUCUAAAUAGAUGAUUGUUUUGAUGUUAAUCUUUGUAAAUUAUGUAUUACCAAUUUUAACAUUGGAUGUAAUUGCAUAAAGGCUUGCAUCUCAAUCCUUGAAAGUCUAGCAUUAAAUGGAAACAACUUUUCCUAACUGUGGAGUGGC